GUGAGUGAAGUAAGGUUUCGGAUACGUAAAACUCUGUUGGUAGAGAAGAACGUUGGUGAGAGUAGGAAAGCUCAUACAAGUGACGGUAACCUACCCAGAGAGCCGACGGACUAACUACGGUCGCCAGCACGCCGACGGUAAUACGGUAGGUGGACAAGUCGUUCGUCCGGUAAUUAGUUGGGACGUAAAGCGCGCGCGAGGUCGGUUACCUUUAAGUCUGAUGUAGAACGCCCGACGCUACCACGUGGAGGUCUGUAGAACGUGGGGACUUGAGUGCAGAAGAGGAAAGUGGAAUUCCAAGUGUAGCGGUGAAAUGCGUAGAGAUUUG
This 328-nucleotide ribosomal RNA is filed under the name uncultured bacterium. RNAcentral describes it as "bacterial SSU rRNA". It matches the Rfam family "Bacterial small subunit ribosomal RNA", at positions 401 to 700 of the family's 1533-position model. The record is from RNAcentral.